AGGGUUCGAUUAUGGCUCAGGAUGAACGCUGGCGGCAUGCCUAAGACAUGCAAGUCGAACGAGGUGGCCUGUGGAAAAUGGAGUGCUUGCACGAAGCUGGAAGCAGAUUACCACCUAGUGGCAGACGGGUGAGUAACACGUGGGUGACCUACCUUAUUGUUGGGGAUAACAGUUGGAAACGAUUGCUAAUACCGAAUGAAAUAUGAGAGUCAAUUUUAUAUUGAAAGGAGCCUCUAAAGCUUCGCGAUAAGAUGGGCCUGCGGCGUAUUAACUAGUUGGUGAGAUAAUAGCCCACCAAGGUGACGAUGCGUAGCCGAACUGAGAGGUUGAUCGGCCACACUGGGACUGAGACACGGCCCAG
RNAcentral lists this ribosomal RNA (361 nucleotides) under uncultured bacterium. RNAcentral describes it as "bacterial SSU rRNA". It matches the Rfam family "Bacterial small subunit ribosomal RNA", at positions 8 to 334 of the family's 1533-position model. The record is from RNAcentral.